Molecule: ribosomal RNA, 857 nt
Filed under: uncultured bacterium
Lineage: Bacteria
Description: bacterial SSU rRNA
Rfam family: Bacterial small subunit ribosomal RNA
Source: RNAcentral
UACGUAGGGGGCAAGCGUUGUCCGGAAUGACUGGGCGUAAAGCGCGCGCAGGCGGUCUUUUAAGUCUGAGGUGAAAGGCUGGGGCUCAACCCUGGCAUCGCCUUGGAAACGGGAAGACUUGAGGACUGGAGAGGCAAGGGGAAUUCCACGUGUAGCGGUGAAAUGCGUAGAGAUGUGGAGGAAUACCAGUGGCGAAGGCGCCUUGCUGGACAGUGCCUGACGCUGAGGCGCGAAGGCGCGGGGAGCAAACAGGAUUAGAUACCCUGGUAGUCCACGCGGUAAACGAUGAGUGCUAGGUGUCGGAGGGUACCACCUCCGGUGCCGAAGGAAACCCAAUAAGCACUCCGCCUGGGGAGUACGGUCGCAAGACUGAAACUCAAAGGAAUUGACGGGGGCCCGCACAAGCAGUGGAGCAUGUGGUUUAAUUCGAAGCAACGCGAAGAACCUUACCAGGACUUGACAUCCCCCUGACGGGAGUAGAGAUAUUCCGUCCCUUCGGGGCAGGGGAGACAGGUGGUGCAUGGUUGUCGUCAGCUCGUGUCGUGAGAUGUUGGGUUAAGUCCCGCAACGAGCGCAACCCUUGAUCAGUGUUACCAGCACGUAAUGGUGGGGACUCACUGAUGACUGCCGGUGACAAACCGGAGGAAGGCGGGGAUGACGUCAAAUCAUCAUGCCCCUUAUGUCCUGGGCCACACACGUGCUACAAUGGGCGGUACAACGGGAAGCAAGAGAGCGAUCUGGAGCGAAACCCUAAAAGCCGUUCGUAGUUCGGAUUGCAGGCUGCAACCCGCCUGCAUGAAGUCGGAAUCGCUAGUAAUCGCGGAUCAGCAUGCCGCGGUGAAUACGUUCCCGGGCCU